This 17778-nucleotide long non-coding RNA is filed under the name Selaginella moellendorffii. Its description in RNAcentral is "long non-coding RNA (SMOE_LNC000767)". The record is from RNAcentral. Lineage: Eukaryota; Viridiplantae; Streptophyta; Lycopodiopsida; Selaginellales; Selaginellaceae.
GUUGCCCAACCUACCCAACCUACCCACUAUCCCUAUUAUACAUUUAGGGGAUUUAACCCCCCCCCCUGCCCCCCACCCCCCCACCCCCCCCGUACCUCUUCCGUACCUUUUCGUCCCUUUACUUCUACCUUUGCUUCCAUUACUUUUGUUCCCCCAUUAUUUCCUCUUGUGUUUUCAUCUUUUGUUCUGCUCUUCCCUUUUCCGAUCCCUUCGACAAUCUUUCUGUUGCAGCUAUUGACCAACUCAUGAAGGAGUAUUUUGAUCUCUUUGAAUUUGACCUAUCAUCUAGGGCCAAGAUUACCACACGUCAUCCGAUUCCAGCCGGGGAUGCUCGUCAAAUCAAGAUUCCUGUUCAUCGUCGGUCACACAAGGAGAUCAAAAUUUUAUGUAUAAACGUCAAGGAGAUGUUGGAAAAGGGUGUUAUUCAGAAGUCGCAGAGUCCUUGGGUAUGUGAACCUCAUCUUGUGACGAAACCUGAUGGGAGUAUUUGUUUCUGCAUCGACUAUCAUCCGUUAAAUGAAGUGACGAUUCCAGAUGUGUACCCUCUUCCCCACACUGCUGAUCUCUUGGAUUAUCUGGGGUGAAGUUGUUGGUUCACCAAACUAGAUCUUGCUUCUAGGUACUGGCAAGUACCGAUGGCCGAGGAAGAUAUUCCUAAGACUGCUUUUCAUACACCGUUUGGUUUGUAUGAAUUCUUGGUGAUGCCAUUUGGUUUGAACAAUGCUCCAACAACUUUUCAGUGGAUGCUGGAUAAGGUUCUUUGUGAUAUACCAGAGGUGACUGCUGACUUCAUUGAUGAUGUCUUGAUUCAUUCAGAGGGGACGUGGGAGGAGCACAUUCGUGAUAUGUGUAAAGUGUUGGAUUAGCUAUGGAAUGUUGGUUUAAAGCUGAAACGGUCGAAGUGCGUGUUUGGGUCCAAGGACACAACUUAUCUUGGGUACUGACUUGAACUCAGAUUUGGACUCGGACUCAGACUCAGACUUGGACUUGGACUCAAACUCAAACUUGGAUUCAAUCUUGGUCUCAGUCUCAGCCUCGGCCUCGGUCUUGGUCCUGGUCCCGGUUUCAGUCUUGGUUGCAGUCUCGACCUCAGACUCCAUUUUGGGUCCUUCUCGGACUCCAUCUCAGAUUCCAUCUCGGGUUCAUCUCAGACUCCAUCUCGGUGCUCAUGAAUUUGAGACUAGAAUUGACAACCGUAGGAAUCAAAUACAAAUGAGGACACAAGUCCUUGAAAUGGUAACCGGAGCUACAUUUUAUAAAUGUUGGAACAAACCCAAGGAAUUGGGGGUAUGCUCAAAAGAUGAGUCGAUAUUCUCAUCAUAUGGACGAAUAGUCCUAAGGGGCAAAGGUAACCCAUAGAAAAUGGGAAAUAAUCAAAUGUCAGAGCAACAUUUCUAAAAAUAGUCCUUGUGAGUAAGACAUGAAUACAAGAAGAUGUAUUUUAGUGAAUUGACACUUCAAUAGUAGGACCUCAUGGGUUAUCAAAUUAGUAAAGUCCAAAAAGUUGGAUGACUCAAGUAAAGUUCGGGAAUGGUCUUAAGGGAUUGGUAGAAGCAUUUGGAUAGAAGUGUGUUGUGCUCUAUGAAGGAUAAAGAGGAUCAUAAAAUCCAAGUAUGAGAACAAUGUGUAUCUCAUUGUACGCAUUGUACCCUAAUGGGGGAUAAAUUAUUUAUGUUGCGAUAUAGUAAAUCAAUAUUAUAAAAGGAAUGCUCAUUGAAGAAAACCAUCAUUGGGAAUUAUUCGUUAGAGACUUAGUCCUUUGGGCCUUAUUUAAUACCCUCAUAACACCAAAUACCACUUCUUGGUGUUUUAGAAUGUUUGAGUGUCCUUGUGAAGGUUUGCAAUUUGAUCCUGACAAACUUGUAGCCGUUCUAAAGUUCCCUACUCCGAAGUGUGUGAAUGAUGUGUAGUGCUUCUUGGGCAAGGUGCAGUAUCUCGGUCGUUUUGUGGAUCAUCUUUUUGAUCGCAUUGCACCAUUGCGAGCGUUACUGAAGUCAUCAACAUCAUCUUUCAUUUGGUCUUGAGAUUGUGAGCGAGUGUUUGUGGAUCUCAAAGACUCCUUCAGUUUUGGCAUAUCUUGACUACACUAGACCUUUUAUUUUGCGCGUAGAUGCUUCUGACAUUGGUCUUGGAGGUGUGUUAAUGCAAGAGAGCCCGAGUGUGCCUGGUCAGCAUCAUCCCAUUGCAUAUAUAAGCCGUACGUUACAACCAGCAGAGGUGAACUACUCCAUGACAAAGAAGAAGUGUUUAGUGGCAGUUUAGAGUUUCGAGAAACUUCAUGCAUAUCUACAUGGUUCUCAAAUAUUACUUGAAGGUGACCAUGCUGCCGUUACUUCAUUAUUGAAGCGAAAGAACCUGGUUGGUCAUACUGCUCAGUGGGUUUUGAAGCUUCAGAUAUAUGAUUUUGAUGUUGUUCAUCACCCAAGGAGUUCUAUGGCUGAUGCUAAUGCCCUUUCUCAAGCUUCUCUUCCUUCUCCACUCUCUUCUCAUGUUUCUGAUGAGUUUGUUGUUCUAGCAUCUGUGAAUUUUCUAGACGAGGAUUCUAUGCCAUCGACAGUUGCUGUACUUAACGUUCAGUGUCCACAAGGCGCAGAGCAAGGUUUACCUUCUCUUGAUGAAGUUCGCGAGGCUCAAAAGAUUGAGCUAUGGAUUCGAAGGCUUCGAAAUGCGUUUGAAAAUCCUAUAUCACUUACUGAUGGCUUGCCUUUCCAGCAUUUACAUUCUCAAUAUCGCCUUGAAGAUGGCCUUCUUUAUUUUGUGGGGACGGAUCCUGAUGAUCAUUUACGGCUGGUGGUGCCUUCUGUCUUUAUUCCGCGGUUUCCCCAUACUUACCAUGAUUCUCUUGUUUUAGGUGGGCAUAUGGGACAUCAUCGUGUGACCGAGAAACUGCGCAGGUCUUUCUAUUAGCCGGAGAUGCGACGUGAUGUUAUCCGGUAUGUGCGUAGCUGCAUUUGGUGCCAAGCUCGUAAUACUCCCCCUUGUGCUACGGAAGGACAGUUAGAGUCAAUUGCAAUUUCCCGUCCAUUGGAGUUGUUAGUGUUUAAUCUUAUAGGACCUUUUCCACAGUCGACUGUUGGCAAUGAGUAGGUUAUUAUUGCUUCUGACUACUUGACUCAUUGAGUGGAAGUUAGUGCUCUUGUUAGUGCCUUUACAACUGCUGUUGGAUACUUCUUCCUCAAUCGAGUGGUGUUCUAGCAUUCUUGUCCAGAACGGAUUCUUUCAAAUAAUGGUCCUGCUUUUAUGGCUGAGGCAUUUCAUGUUUUGACAUCUCGGUUAGGGAUACGCCACACUUUUCACGAGUGCUUAUCAUCCACAACUCUACACCCCUGUGACAUAGGCAUACUGAAGAGACGGCAAAUAACCAUCCCAAUCCAAAUGCUGAAAGUUUACAUACUUCGCAAUCAUCCCUUUGAAUGUCCUAAUGAGCCGUUCGACUGCUGCCGAACACUUAGGCUGUGUACAAGUUGGACAACAAUAGCACUAUAACUCCCAUCAUCGUCCACCUACGGAGUACAAAAUGGAUGAUUUGGUGUUAGUCUGUUUUCCCCAUCUUACAAUAUGUGGUUUAUCUAAGGGGCUCCUUGCAGAGUGGAAAGGACCGUAUCGCGUGUUGCGGCAAGUUGAACCGCAAGUUUAUGAAGUUCGGCAUGACGUCCAACAGGCCAAUCCUCCAGAAAUUGUGCAUGUGCAGUGGUUGAAAUGUUUUAUACAAAGGGAUCAGGAGCAAUUAAUACCAUCUACAGAUCCACCGAUGCCUCCUCCUAACAUUCCUCUAGAUUCCAGCCUGUCUACAAGAAAACCUUGACGGCCUUCUAUUAUUCCGAGAGGAGGGGAUGAUGUGAGGGCUAAAUGUAUGGUUAUGAUGCCGUAUACUAAUAUUAGUGUAGUGGGAUUUUGGUAGCCAUUGGAUUGGUUUCAAUCCGGACCACUCGCUCCUAUAUAUAAGCUAGGGUUUUUGGGCUAAUUGAUAUGCACAUUUUCUGUAUUCCCUUUCCAUAUUCCAAGCACUCACAAAUCCAUAUAGUUUGCUAUUUAUUAAUUAUUCUUUUUCAAUUUUUAGUUAAUUAGAUAAGUUUUUUAAAAAAUUGAUAGUUCACCCUAUUUUUAAACUAUUGUAACAGACUUUCAACCCAGGCAACUAUAUAAUUUAUAAUUCUCAUUUUUAGGAUAAAUAUCACAAUUUAACAAGUUUAAAAAUUAACUAGAAUAACUAUAUGUCACACCAGUGUUGCUAGAAUCCAGAUACUAAACAUUUGAUCUCAAAUAACUAUAACUUAUUUUUAUUCUCUUCCACUGGCAUAAACUUUAGCCUUAGAUGACUAUUGUUAACCUUAGAUAAACAUUGAUAACUACCUCUACUUUUGAUAAAACUGAUUGUAAUACAAACUCAUUGGUACAAGUUUCUCACAUGAAGAAUUUAAGAUACAUGGUGAAGACAUUUAGCAUCUCUAUACAUGUCAAAGCCAUAAACCUCCAUAGCAUAGAAUUAAACACGGGUUGAAAUGUUGAGAAUCUCAUUCUAGCAGUCUCCACGUGCUGAUUCUAUAAAUUGGCUUAGUGCAAUAUUAAACUCUUUUCACUUGGUUGCAUGCUUGCCCACAGGCAUUCUAACUCCUCAACUUCUCAUUGCAAUUUGAAGGGCAAUAUCAUCAUAAACUAGUCUGUGAUUGGAGCUUCCAUGGCCUGCCAUUCUCUCAAAAGCCGAGGAUCAAGGAUAUCUUGAUUGGACCCAAAUAGCUCAAUGGAGAUAAUCUUGUUUACCUUGGCAGGAUGAUCUCCAUCGUCUGCUUGUCUUUCAAGAGUUCAAUGCUGCGGUGUUUCAGCCUCUUCGAAUAACUGUUGGCUCGAGAGCCAUGCAUCGGGUCUUGGCAUAGGAUAUGGAUCCUGAGAUGGAUGAGGACCGAAGCGCGAUGCUUCCCACCAUAGCCCAGCUCCACUCCAUUCCCACCAUAGCCCAGCUCACUGGAGUGGAGACGAUGUUGUGCCCGGGCAGGACGGCCAGAAUUAAAUAGAUGCUCUCAUCAUGCAGCGAGUCUUUGGAGAGGCUCAUCAAGUCAUGCAAGACUGCGAGCAAUGCAAAGGUGAUCCACAACCAAAUCCUUUGCACCCACCAAAACCUCACCACCUUUGUGUGCAAUCUGCUGCUGGAGAUGCACUCAAAAUGCGGGAGCAUCUCUCUCGCCCGCCACGUCUUCGACAACCUCUGCCCGCCCUCUUGCAGAGAUUCCUUCACCUGGGUUCUCAUGCUCGUAGCAUAUGCCCGAGCCGGGCAUCUUACCCAGGCCCGCGGCAUCUUCGAGUCCAUGCCCUCGCGCAACCGCGUCGCCUGGAACGCAAUGCUCGCCGCGUACGCUGCCACCGGGGACCUCGAUCGCGCGCUGGAGAUCUUCGAUUCGUCGCCGCAGCACGACGUGAUCGCCUGGACGUCGCUCCUGUCGGCGUUUGCACUGGCCGGAGAUCUUGCCCACGCGCGCCGCCUCAUUGACGCCAUGCCCGAGUGGAACCUUGUGUCAUGGAACGCGAUGCUGUGCGCGCAAUCGCAAUGCCACCAGGUGGAGGGCGCCUGGGAUGUGUUUGAGCGGAUGGAAGAGCGCAACAUCAUCUCGUGGAACGCGCUGCUAUCUGCAUAUGCCCUCUCGGGGCAUAUGGACGAAGCAGCGUAUCUUUUCGAAGCGAUGCCGGAAAGGGAUCUGGCUUCGUGGACGACGAUGAUUGCUGGAUCUGCGCAGGCAGGGAAGAUCGAGGACUCGAGAGAACGUUUUGAUGGCAUGCCGGAGAGGGACGUCGUUGCAUGGAACGCUAUGCUUGCGGCACUUGCCCAAAAUGGGCAUCUUGUAAAGGCGCUAGAGUUCUUAGAAAUAAUGCCGGUGUGGAGCCUGGCUGGCUGGAAUUCUCUUCUCGCCGCUUGCGCGCAAGAGAAGGAGUUUGAUCGAGCACAGAAGUUACUAGUGAGAUUACCCGAACUGGAUCUUGUGGCCUGGAAUUCGAUGCUUGCGGUGAAUGCCCUUUCUGGGCAUCUGGACGAGGCGCUGUUGGCUAUGGAAGCCUUAUCUAUGCCUGUUGAUGUGAAGUCAUGGAACGCAGUGCUGUAUGGCUAUGCCCAGAGCGGGCAUCUCGACAAAGCCACCAGCUUGUUCCACGCAAGAAUGCCUCACAGGGACGUGGUUUCCUUCACUGCAAUGCUCUCGGCCUAUGCAAGGAGUGGUUAUAUCGACGAAGCAAAAGCUCUGUUCGAUUCGAUGCCGGAGAGGACUCUUGUGUCAUGGAACGCGCUGCUCGGCGGAUUUGUCCACAAUGGUCUGUACGCUCGAGCUCACAGCUUCUUCCAGACCAUGCCCGAGUGUGACGUUGUAUCUUGGACUGGGGCCUUGAACUCGAUUACCCCAACUAUGUCGUACAAAACUUCGCUGGAUCACUUCCAAAGGAUGCUGCUUCAAGGAGUUCUUCCGGAUGAUGUCUGCUUUGUGUCGAUACUGGUCGGAUUCAACCAUGGCGGUAGCGUCCGCACCGCUUUGAGCUGCUUCGCGUCCAUGGCUGUCGACUUUGGCAUUGAUCCGACGAAGCAGCUGUAUGGAAGCCUGAUUGAUCUGCUUGGUCGGGCGGGAUAUCUGAAGGAAGCCGAGGAAGUCAUCGCCAGCAUGCCGUUUAAGCCGGGAGACGUCGACUGGCAAUCGCUCCUGAGCGCUUGUAAGAGUUACAGUGAUGGUCGAAGUGGAAGCCGAGCAGCAAAGCAAGCUCUAGAGUUGAAUCCGCAGGACGACGGAACAUACGUGCUGCUGGCAGCAAUGUCCGAGUGUGGUGCUCACAAUAGUUGAGACGCUCGCACCGGUGGAUCGUUGAAGUUAGCUGUUGUCUCCUUUGUAGAUUUACAACAGGCUGUUUCGGAAGAAGCGAACUCCCUGCUUGAAGAACGUAAAUAUCGAAUGUGGUGUUUAAACAGUGCGAGACGAACCUGUAGUGCAAAUACGACGUCAUCAUGGUCUACUUGCAACUUUGUCUUUCUGAGACGAUCUUCGCGAGCUGUACCGAGGCCAAGAAGACCCUGAAAUGUCGAAGAUUAAACACUAGUUUGUCUUGCCACAUAGCUUAUACCUGGUCGGCAAUUAGUUGACAAAUUCCAGAGAAUUCUUGAGAAGAUACAGGGCGCAUACCAGUUGUUUUACAAAACCCCAGGUACUGCUUAUUCAGCUGCAAAGCUUCCCGUAAGUCCACUCAUCAAUUUUGACACUUGAAGAACGCCUACCUCGCCUAAUGGCGCGUCCCUCUUUCUCUUCCGGAAGAGAUUAGCGGCACUACAUAAGACCAUCUGUACAUCGAUAACGAAAUGAGCAGAUAACGCAUGACAAACACUGGUAUUACCUGCGAAUGUUUUGGCAAAGCUUGAAUAGUUUCAAUGACAGGAGAACGGAAAACUUUGGCCAACGCCCUUGCCAUGUGAUCAACUUGCACAAACUGAUCCCUUUGCAAGCACGUCGCUUCAGGCUCUGUAGAUUUGCUUUUGUUCUCGGCUUCAAAAAGAUCAAGAGCAGUCCUGCAACGCACCAAAGUUAAGAAUCAUAAGAAGUCACAGGGAAUUACCAACCUGCAAGCGUACAAGGCUUUUCUCAUGUCCCCGGAUGCAGCAGAUACCCUCUGUUCCAUUGAAAGAUUAGAACAUCAGCUAAGGUGGUUGCAAUAACUUACUCUGGCGCACAGCUCCAAGGCUGCAGGAUGAAACGUAGCCACCGAUAGAGACUGGAAAAGGCAAUGUUAAUACUCAAAGACAAGAUGUGUUGCCGUCUUCUACCGAUAAUCUUUGAAGCAAGACAGCGAAAAUUUGGUCUUUGGUAUACGCAGGAAAUGUGAUGACCUCCGGGUUACCUGCAAUACGAUCGACAAUAAGAUACAAACAGAAUAAACAUCAGCGCAAGCCUUACAGCUGAAAGUUCUCAGCCUUGGUAGAAAUCUUUCAGUUAAAUCGAUGGCGUUAGCAAUUCCUUUGACAAGAAAAGAGCAUCAGCACACAAGAACGCGUAGAAAACAGCUCACCUAUUAGAAUGCAGCUGCUGUCUUUCAAAACGGAUAAUUGGAACAGCUCAUACAACACAGUUUGUUCUCUGGUUAUGAGAUAGUCCAUUUCAUCGAUGAUUAAAAGCCUGGCAAGAAAAGCUUAGCGAUUCCAAAAAGUGGCAAGGAAAACAAAAACAUACUGCAUUUUCUUCGCACCCCUGUUGAACGAUAGUAACUUCUUAAGUUGUUGGUACCCGACGCUUCGAUCAUCGUCAGCGCCUGGUUGUAAGGAGUGAUAAAUCUGCGAAACAAACGAGCAUUCCAUCGUCCAAGCACAAAGGAAAAAAAGUUCAUACCCUGGAGUAGAUCUGUGUAGCAUCUGUGAGCGUUGUGCAAUUGACAGAAGCCACAUCCGGUGGUAAAAUCCCUGCCUGUAUAGAAAAACAAAGAUGAAACUCAAGUGUCUAGCUAUUUGGGAUUUUACCUCGACCGCCCACUGUGACAAGAGGCCUUUUAGCUUCUCCAUUGCCAGCGAUUUCCCAGUUCCAGGACACCCACACACGUAGAGACUGCCUGGCCUUCUCUCUAGCAGGCAAUCCUUGGAGAACUUGAUUAUCCUAUCGAUCUGCUCGCUCCGGCACAGAAUAGCCUCAGGAACAGCAGACAAAUGCAAUGCCGUCUUGGCCGCGAGGAUGUGAGCCGAGAAAUCCAUGGAGCGAUCAAUCAAGAAUGCCAAACCCUGCCCUAGAUCCCCCGCGCAAUCUACAUGUUCCCUCCAAAAAUCCGCGCCAAAAUAUAGCCGUUUGAAAAAAUUCCAUGAACUUUAGGGUUCAUGGAGCUCAUUGGCAAGCGCGAAGGAGACCCUGCGAUCGCGGCUUUCUUGGGCAAUUUGGGGGCGAGCGAUGGAGGAAUUCCACUGCCCAGCCGGCGCGCAUUCCCAGCUCUCAAAUCGCGGCCGGCGUGUGAGUAUCACAACUACGAAGGUCUGGGCGUGUCGCUGUGCUUCGAGGAGUCAGCCCUAGAGGCCGUCCAUGUGUACAAUGGGACGCACGGCUACUCCCAAUUCAUGGGCGAUCUUCCUCACGGGCUCAGGUAAGCGUAAAUUCCUCUCAGUCGAUCAGUCGAUCAUUCGAUUCGAUUCCACUUCAGGAUUGGAAUGACGGGCCGAGAGAUUGUGGAGCUGCUAGGCGAGCCCGACGGCAAGGCCGGAGGAGGACGAGGUGGCGGCCCCAUCUCCAUAGCUUACAAGGAAAGAGGUUUGCACAUCAAUUUCCUGGGAUCCAGCUGGGAGAACAGCGAUAGCGCGAUCGACUCGGUGACCAUCCACGCGCCUCAACCUCAAACCAUGGCCAUCGAGGAUCACUGAGGGAGGUUUUUCGUUUUGUUUCUAUCGGGUCUUAAAAUCUUUGAUAUGGUCUGAUUGGCAAGGAAAACCAUUCCGAUUCACAUCGAUUUGGAUAGUCAUUCAAGAAUGGCCUCAGGCGAAAGAUGGUGAUUUUGAGUUGUUCCUCACGGGAAACAUCAGAUCUCUUUGCUGAGAGAAGCUUGCAUCAUCGGCCAAGAAAAAAAAAACUCACAAACAAGAACAAUGGAGUUGUCAGCUGGUAGUGCAUGUAAAAUGAUCCUCACUGAGAAGCUCAGAACAGGUCUAUGAACUUUGAUCAUCCUCCAACUCCAUCCAGAAGCUCCUAAGAAAAUCGAAACUGGGAAUCAGACUGACGUGCAAAUCGAUAUGAGAUUUUUUCCGCAGUAGAAGUCAGAAAUGGCGAAAGAUCAUCAUCACAUUCCCAAAGAAAUCCAGAGAUCAGACGAAACAAAAUCGUGUCAAUCCUCACAGAAAGUAGGACUGGGGCGACAUUCCAGUCAUCAUCUCUCCUCGAGCAACAAGCAAACCCUAGGUUUUCUGUGGCCGCAAAAGCCCUAAAUAAGUGCCCUAACAGGACGCCAACGGUGGGGAUUGCGCUUGAAUCCGACGGACAGGAUUUGGAUUUACAGGAGAGAUACUAUUAUUAUUCCGUUUUAAACUUAAACUCGGGAAUGACAAUGGCGUCGAGCCAGUUGGAGAGAUUGACGCUCACAACGCACUUUGCGCCCCAGAGUUUGUCCUUCCUCGUCGACUCCGGCUCUUUCACCUCCUCGUAUCUCUCGAGCUGGUUUAGCUGCUCGUACAAUCCAAUGCACCGCUCGCGCGUCUCCAGCACCGAGAUCUGUGCUGCUCGGCCGCGGAGGCAGCGCUGGAACAACACGAUCGCCGUGAGCCUCUCCAGCUUGACCACCAGAGUUGGAUCACAUCUGGGUGUCAAAACUCUCCGGUGCUUUCCCUGGAGCGAUCGAGUAUGAGACUGUUUCUCUAGAACGUAAAAAACAAAAGAGAAAGACUUACAACUUGGACGGAGUAGUGUCUUUGGCGUGGAACCGCUCGCGCGAUCGAUCUUCCCUUGGUGGAUCGAGUCGCGCGUCGCGCGUAGGCAUCGGUCAUUGCGAUGAAAUCGCCCUGGAGCCACUCCUCCACGUUCACCUUGAUUUUCAGGCGUGGCUCAAGCUCCGCAAGCUCUGCAAGGGAGCUGUUGUAUUUCAAUCACAAACAAGCCCGGCAGGGAGAGAAACCACAUAAACAAAAGAGAAAACCUUGCGGCAAUCGUGGAGAGCACCUUUGAGUAGCAAGUUCUUAAAGGGCUCCAUGAAAUCUCGCUGCUCGGUCUGCAAGAAGAGAAAGUUACUUGAGAGUUUGGGGAGAAAAUGAUGAUCAAACUUACGAGCUCCUCGAGGCUUGGUAUGUGCCAUUCCUUCUCAACUCUGUUGGGGAAAACCAUGGGAUUCAUCCGGACUGGAACAAUUUCUUUGUCUCUCGCAAAGAGCUCUCGAUCCCCGUCCGCUGCUUGUUCCCUGUGGGGUCUUCUUCGCAUUCCAUAUCUCUCUUCGAAAGAACACACCGAGUUAAGAAAAUGAGAAGAAAAAAAAUUCAAUCGCUAUACCUUCAAAGACCCACGGCUCGAUGUUGACAAACAUCCAAGACGGGGGCUGGAUGAGAUCGAAGGCUGCCGUUUGCGUCUCAUUCUCCCUCAAAUCGGUCUGCGCCUCAGCGGCUCGAAUCUCCUCCUCCAUUCCUCCCCAACGCAAGCUACCGAUCGAAACUACGAGAGAAAUGUACCGCGAAAGCAAUGGCUCCGUCCCGCUAGGCUGCCGAUCGACCGCGCCCUGUUCUAUGCCCCCAUCACGAUUCGCGAUUUAGGGCUUUCAGAUCCCAGGACUAUGCGAUACGGGCCUCCACUUGGCACGUCCGACGUGGCGAGGUGACGAGGCCGGCUUUUGAAUUUGAAUUCAAAAUGGCGCUUGGAAAGGGUGGGAAAGAGCGCGAUGACGAGGAAUGUGGGCAUAGCGAUCGAUUUGUCGCCCACCAGCAGGUACGCGCUUCGUUGGGCGCUCGAGCACUUCGCGCGCGAUGGCGAUCACAUCUUCGUCCUCGUCGUCCGCAAGAAAGAGGGCGAGGACACCGCCCUCUUCGAGAAAGCCGGCACUCGUAAGUGGCAACGAUCGAUCUUAAGAUGUUCUCAGACUCGGUUUGCCUGGAGGAUUGAUCCACAGCCUUGAUCCCAAUGCACGACUACGACGAGCACGUCUUGGACAAGUAUGGCAUCCAGCCCGAUCCUGAGGUGUUUGCAACGAUUAGAGAGCACCGAGAGAAGAAAAAAGUAAACUUUCUUACGCGUUUUCCUUUUUGUUCUUGUCGAUCUCAACGUCGAGCUCCUGGCUCCAGUUUGCUGUGGACGGUAAGGUCUACUACGGCGAUGCUCGAGAGAAGAUCAUCGAGGCUGUUGGAGAUCUUAAGUUGGACCUGCUUGUGCUUGGAAGUAGAGGCCUUGGGACUGUUAAAAGGUACCGCAAAGCUUCUUAUUUCUCGACUUGGAAAAAACUCGUUUCAUUUGUUGCCAAUCCACAGGGCGCUGCUGGGAAGCGUCAGUAACUACGUAAUCAACAACGCACCUUGCCCAGUCACAGUAGUGAAGCUCCCGGAAUCCCAAUCAAACUCGUGAGAAGCUCGAACAGAUGCUUUAAGAUGUAGGCGGUUUCUUCUUGUCCAGUAGAUCCUCGAAGUUUUUGGGAUCCAGCGUUCCGCUGAGAAGAGCGAAGAGCAAGCGUUUGUGGUAGAGAUGCCCGUGAAUUAAAUUCAAGAUGAACUGGCGAUGCCCCAUUACUGCGACAAUGAAAUCGGCUAGAUCGAUCAAGAUUAGAAAUUUAAGAGCAUACCAGGCAGAGGUACGAACACAUUAGUCGCCAUUCGAGAAAGGUCGGUCGGGGUGGCAUUUAGAAAUGGUGGAUCAAUCUUACUGCAACAUACAACUCCCACGAUCAGAUUAUCGAAGUUGCCACAAUGAACAAGCCGGCUACCUUACUCGAACACGUAAAUUCUGUUCCAGGAAGUGUCAUUAGUGUGAUGAAAGACAAAACAGGGAGAUUCAAGCUCAUGUACCUCGCGGUGGCCCCAGAAGUUCAUUGUGCUGAUCUCUACAUAUUCUGGAAGAGGUGGAACAAGCGAGAGCUCGCCAAUGUAUCUGCAGUGAAAAGGUUGAAGUUAGCAAAUCUGUUUGAUCCAGUGUGAUCCUCACCUACGGGAAUAGUACCAGAGAGCGAGCGUUGCUCCAACAGCUCCAAAAGUGACGCCAAGAGAUGCUGCUACAGCCUCGGCAGACAAUGUCCCCUUGGAAAACAAAGACAAACCUAUAACACGAGAAGAGCAAAGAAGAAACGAGAAAGCAUCCUUACCUCUUUCACGUACUUUGCUAAUGGAGCUGCUAUGGCUGCAAAUCCCGCCAGUUGAAUUACCUUGAGCCUAGAACAAAAAAAAUCCUUUUUCUGCGCCAAUUCCUCCGAGAAAUCUAUGAUCCAAACCUCACGACAAGCCGCAGCGGUCGCAUCCAGCGCGCUUGGUACAACACCACUUUCGCGGGAGCCUGAUCUCUAAAACCCUGGGGACUCACAUUCUUGUUAUGCAGCAGCUUCGCCGGAUCAUCAUCAGGGAUCGCCGUGGACGCCGCCGCCGCUGGUGACGAUGCCGAAAAGCGCAGCGGCGUUCGCGAUUGCGCGGUAGCAGCGGCGCAUCGCCGAAGCAAUGGCCGCAGUGCCGCCAUGGCCGUAGAAAAUACCGAAAUUAGGGCUCCUGGCAAGCUUUCCCGCCAAAAGGUUUAGGGCGUUUCGAAAUUCUGCAGCGCCAUGGCUGAUCUGGAGCUGCUUCUAUCGCUUCGGGACGAAUGCGGCGAAGAGAAGGACAGCACAGGUAUGAUUUCUAUGAAUGGAUCGAGCCGACAUUGCGGCAUUGUGAUAGAAAUCAAGGAUCGAUCGAACAGCAGUGAGAUUUUGCCGCGCCCUUCGACAGGCUAUUGCUCCGAUGAAGAGGAAAGGCCCAAGUCCGUGCUAAACAUGUCCAUUUUCAAGGAUGUGCUGAAAAGCAGUGGAAGUUUAGCGAAAUGCCCGCCGGCCUCGGUCGAGAAAUCAAAGGGAGUUUCUGUGCAAAGCUUCGGAUCAAACGGCAGUACACCAGAUCUCGAAGUUCACUCUGGUCUUCGCAUCAGGUAGAGUUUCUUUUGUUUUUCUUACAUAUGUUUUGUUCAUACAGAUAAGAUGUUCUGCUUUACCCACGAAUUUUUCUCUGGAUCGCAGGAACAGAUGUCUUAGCCGUGAGAUGCUAACUACAAAGCUCAUGGAGCUGCGAUUCGUGAAGCUUGAAGCUCUCAAGUAGGCAUUCUUUCGUUCUAUUUCCUUGCCUCCCUUUACAGAGAAUUUAUCUUUCGUCAGGCAUGCAGUCAUUGGCGAUGGUGUUAGAGGUUCUUGGGCAACAAUUGCCGUUCUGUCAGACAAGGGCCAACCCCGAGUGUCAUCGAACUCGAAAAACUAUGUCAUUUGGAAGCUGUCUUGCCUGAACGAGUCUACCGUUUCCUUGUUUUUGUUUGGGGAUGCUUAUAAAGAACACUGGAAAGAGGCGGUCGGUAGUGUUAUUGCGGUUUUCGAUGCUAAAGUUCGUCACGAUGACAAGGUAUGUCUCAAUGUGUUUUUUAGCCUUCCUGUUCUGACUUUGAUUUCCCAGAAAGGUGAUUUUAGCUUGAGCGUUGCUGAUGUGAAUCAAUUGACAGUUGUGGGGACGUCACUGGAUUUUGCCAUUUGUAACGGGAAGCGCAAAGAUGGAGCUCCUUGCUCAGUACCGGUUAACAGGUGAGCUUAUAUCUCUCUGAAGUGUUGAUCUUCUAGAACUUAUGUUGCAGGAAAGAGGGUGCAUACUGUAAAUUUCACGCUCUCGUAAGAACACUGAAAUCUUUUUGGUGGUGUACUAACUGAUUUACAGGCAGCACGCAAAAACUUGAGAAGUAAACGGCCAGAGCUAAAUGGCGGGUAAUGUGCUGGAUAUGUAUUUCUCUUGCCGCUUUUCAUGUGUUUAAAUACUAACUCUUUCGCAGAAACCUUGCUACUGGAUUGACCGGGUCGAUGAGAAACCAGAAUCGCGGAAUGCAGUCCCUCAAGCACACUAUAGAGAAAUCACCGGAGCAGCCAUUGAAGCGAGUAAAGCAUCGGUCGUCUUUAGAGCUUUCUAAGAUGCUGAGGUACUCUAUGUUUGCUACAGACGCCGGCAUUCUCAUUACCCAUAUUCUUGUUUACAGCAAUGGCGACAAAAUGACGACACGAACGUCGUCGCAAGGUUUAAGAUUUCUGGCUAGAAUGACAGGUAACAACGGUAGCGUUCUCUUUCUAACAAUGAGAGUAACUGUGCACUGUGAUUUUCAGAAGACAAAGAACUCUCCAGUUCCAACCAGAAGAAGAAAGCGGCAGUAUCAGAUCGCAAGCCUUCCGACAAGAAGCAAGUGGAAGUUUCAAACAGGAGACCUUGCAGGAAGGUCUCCUGUUUGAAACAGGAGAGAGAUAGUGUAUCGAGGUAAUGCACUUUUCCUCCCUGGCUCCAUCCAUUUCUCACUGGAUUGUCUACUGCAGGCCUCCCUUGAAAGAGCUAUCCAACUCGAGCAAAGAUCGAGCACUCGAGAACGAGGUCGUGGAAAUCGACUUGGAAGUGGAAGAGGAUACGGACAAUGCCAUGGUAAUUGUCACAAAACUCUACCUCACGUUUGUUUGGAUUGACUUUCACCAGGCCCAGGCGAUGUCGAUAUUUAAAUCAUAAUCCCAUGCAUAUCUCGAGAGGUAAAAAUCACUCGCUUGCGUCGUUGGAUUGCUUCAGCAUUUUGUCGCAGGCCACUAAGAACCGAUGAUCCAAAGCUUGCGAGCCACAAGAAAAUCGCGUGGAUAUUUUUCUUCAUACGAAACAUCCGCCAGGAAGAAGAAAUUCUAGCGGUCGCAAUACUAGCGGCCGGAAAGCGCCUUAUCUAAGAGGGGAGGCUCUGCCACGCGUCAUUCUUUUAUUCGCGGCCAGGAGCCCACGUCAUCGCGAUUAGUGUAAACCCCCAUUUUGACUUUAAGCUAAUGAUGCUCUACUAGCUAGUAGCCAUUUCUCUGCGGCAGUUCUUCCCUAGCCGCCGCGCUCCUCUCUCCGCCUCGAUCGAUCCGUCCACCAUGGCCGCCACGGCAGCCGCCGCCUCAUCGCAGCUCAUCUCGCCCGCGGCGUCGCUCGGAUCGGCGUCGUCCUCGUCGAGCUCGUCGAGCAAUCGCGCCGGAUUCAGGUCUUUCAGGCUCCAGUCCUUCAGCGGCCUCGUCGCCGGGCGCAGGGAUGUGCGCAAGCUGGGCGCAUUGGAUCAGCACCAGGAUUUCGUUGCGGCCGUGGCAUCCCUGGUGAGCAGAGGCCAUGGGCGGGGCAGCCGCGGCGUGGUGUGCAUGGCCAAGAAGAGCGUCGGCGAUCUCAAGGAGGCGGAUUUAAAAGGCAAGCGCGUCUUCGUGAGGGCCGAUCUCAACGUCCCCUUGGAUGGCGAUCUCAAGAUCACCGACGAUACGAGGAUUCGUGCCGCCGUGCCGACGAUCAAGUAUCUCAUCAGCAAUGGAGCAAAGGUCAUCCUCUCGAGCCAUCUGGUAAGUUUUUUCUUCUAGUUUCGAUAGAUGGAAAGAAUUUCUCGAAGCUUUUCUCAUCCUUGCUUUUCUCUCUUAUAGGGACGUCCGAAAGGUGUUACUGACAAGUAUCGGCUUACUCCUCUUGUUCCAAGGCUCUCAGAGCUUCUCGGCAUUAAGGCAAGCUUGUUUUCUCAAGUGUUUUUAUUGAAUGAGCUCUUUUUUGUUUCUUCAGGUCGAGAAAGCCGACGAUUCGAUUGGUCCGGAAGUUGAGAAGAAGGUUGCUGCUUUGCCCGACGGUGGGGUGCUGCUUCUCGAGAAUGUAAGAUUCUAUCCCGAGGAGGAGAAGAAUGUCCCCGAGCACGCGCAGAAGCUGGCAGCACUGGCUGAUUUGUACGUGAACGAUGCUUUUGGUACCGCUCACAGAGCUCAUGCUUCUACCGAGGGCGUGACCAAGUUCCUCAAGCCCUCCGUGGCUGGAUUCCUCUUGCAAAAGGUAGAUUUUCUUUUUUCUUUUUCCCAAUGCUUCCCUGAGUUGACGACGAAUUUGCCAGGAACUCGACUACCUCGAUGGAGCCGUGUCGAAUCCUAAAAGACCAUUUGCUGCCAUCGUUGGAGGCUCCAAGGUGUCGUCCAAGAUUGGAGUGAUUGAAUCCCUGUUGGAGAAAUGCAACAUCUUGUUACUCGGAGGAGGAAUGAUCUUCACCUUCUUCAAAGCGCAGGGCCUCUCUGUGGGAUCCUCACUCGUUGAGGAGGAUAAGAUCGACCUGGCGAAAUCCCUGAUGAAGACGGCCAAGGACAAAGGUGUCUCCUUGCUCCUUCCCACAGACGUGGUGGUGGCUGACAAGUUCGCAGCAGACGCGAACAGCAAGGUAGAGUCUCCUGGCACCAAUUUUCCAACGUCCGACGAAAUUUUCUCUCUUGUUCUUCCACAGAUCGUACCAUCGACAGCAAUCCCCGAUGGCUGGAUGGGUCUCGACAUCGGCCCCGACUCUGUGAAGACGUUCAACGAGGCAUUGGACACCACCAAGACCGUGAUCUGGAACGGGCCCAUGGGAGUGUUCGAGUUUGACAAGUUCGCGGUUGGCACGGAGGUAAAAGAACGCUUUUGCGAACUUCCAACGAUCUAAGAACUUUUGCCUUGUUUUUCGCAGGCUGUUGCGAAGAAGCUGGCGGAGCUUAGCGGCAAAGGUGUGACUACAAUCAUCGGCGGAGGUGAUUCCGUGGCGGCCGUGGAGAAAGUCGGGGUCGCGGAUAAGAUGAGCCACAUAUCAACCGGGGGUGGUGCUAGUUUGGAGCUGCUCGAAGGCAAAGUUCUUCCUGGCGUCGCUGCUCUUGACGAGGCGGUAGCGGCAGUCACGGUGUAGGAGGUAAUGCUCUACCGUUUCUACAUUUUUCUCCUCUCUUUGUUUUGGCUCCAAUAAGCUGGGCAACUGUAACUUAUCUUAACUCGGCAGCAGCGAUGAUCUUGAGCUCUCAGCGCCAGCAUCUAAAAAUCCACAAGAAGAAAAUUCUUGGAACUUGCCGAUUCUUCUUGGUUCUAUCCUAAAAACCCAAGCAAAACCUAUAAGAGAAAUUAUGUGAAUGGCUUUGCUUACCUUCAUGGAGGGCAAACCUUUGCAAAGGAAGUGCCAUUGUUUAUUGUUGUCCAAUAUGUUAAAUUAUUCUAUCACGAUAGAUUCCUGGAUUAGAUUAGUAAUUCGUACUUGAAGAAAGCCAAUAUUUAUAUAUUGUCCAAGCUAUGAAGGACAGCAAUGUCAUUCUUUUGUGCUUUUAAACAUAAUAACAUCAAUUCAGCCAGAGAUCUUUCUA